RNAcentral lists this ribosomal RNA (305 nucleotides) under uncultured bacterium. RNAcentral describes it as "bacterial SSU rRNA". It matches the Rfam family "Bacterial small subunit ribosomal RNA", at positions 334 to 631 of the family's 1533-position model. The record is from RNAcentral.
AUGGCCUACGGGGGGCAGCAGUAGGGAAUCUUCCACAAUGGGCGAAAGCCUGAUGGAGCAACGCCGCGUGGGUGAAGAAGGUCUUCGGAUCGUAAAACCCUGUUGUUAGAGAAGAAAGUGCGUGAGAGUAACUGUUCACGUUUCGACGGUAUCUAACCAGAAAGCCACGGCUAACUACGUGCCAGCAGCCGCGGUAAUACGUAGGUGGCAAGCGUUAUCCGGAUUUAUUGGGCGUAAAGAGAACGCAGGCGGUCUUUUAAGUCUGCUGUGAAAGCCUUCGGCUUACCCGGCGUAGUGCAUUUGUA